This 497-nucleotide ribosomal RNA is filed under the name uncultured bacterium. RNAcentral's name for it is "partial 16S ribosomal RNA". It matches the Rfam family "Bacterial small subunit ribosomal RNA", at positions 28 to 507 of the family's 1533-position model. The record is from RNAcentral.
GAUGAACGCUGGCGGCGUGCCUAAUACAUGCAAGUCGAGCGAACAGAUGAGGAGCUUGCUCCUCUGACGUUAGCGGCGGACGGGUGAGUAACACGUGGAUAACCUACCUAUAAGACUGGGAUAACUUCGGGAAACCGGAGCUAAUACCGGAUAAUAUAUUGAACCGCAUGGUUCAAUAGUUCAAGACGGUUUUGCUGUCACUUAUAGAUGGAUCCGCGCCGCAUUAGCUAGUUGGUAAGGUAACGGCUUACCAAGGCAACGAUGCGUAGCCGACCUGAGAGGGUGAUCGGCCACACUGGAACUGAGACACGGUCCAGACUCCUACGGGAGGCAGCAGUAGGGAAUCUUCCGCAAUGGGCGAAAGCCUGACGGAGCAACGCCGCGUGAGUGAUGAAGGUCUUCGGAUCGUAAAACUCUGUUAUUAGGGAAGAACAAAUGUGUAAGUAACUAUGCACGUCUUGACGGUACCUAAUCAGAAAGCCACGGCUAACUACGUG